Equus quagga is the source of this 2269-nucleotide long non-coding RNA. RefSeq lists it as uncharacterized. The transcript has 3 exons. NCBI's taxonomy places the organism in Eukaryota, Metazoa, Chordata, Mammalia, Perissodactyla, Equidae. The record is from RefSeq and is a predicted model, not a curated record.
UCUUCUACCCUGUUCUUGCCUUUGAAAAUGUUUAUUCUCCUCUCACUUAUUCACUUAACAUAGGACUCAAAGACUCUUUUGCUUCUUUGGCAUACUUUUUCUAAACUACACGACGUUCAUCUAACUCUGGUUCAGAGCAUUAUGUUGGGAUUUAGAAGUCUCAUAUUCUAAUUCUCAACUCUAUCAUGAACUCUGAUUGUGACCCUGAACUUGUAUUUUUUUCAUCUGUAACAUAGAAAUAUAAAAUCUUAGGAGUGGGUGCAGUAUUAAAGUUCAUAUACCAAUUUCUCAGUCAACAUUCUUUACAGGUAUUUAUCUACUUCUAUUGAAAUGUUUCCAAUGACAAGGAACUUACUACCCUCCCUCCUAAAAAAAGCCAUUAUAUUUUCAAACAGCUCUAAUUAUAAAAAAGUUCUUAUUUUUAUUGAGCUAAAACCUACUGUUUUCUAACUUUUAUCUUAUUAACCUCCUUUAAAAUUUUCCUUCUCCAGGCUCAGUUACUGAAUUCUGGAAAUGACUUCCGAGUACCAUCAUUUCAACACCUGCCACCAAUACAGUUUGCUCUUUUGGAGUAUGCCCUAGUGUCAGUUGUAUGACUCAAUAACUCUUUCUUUUCACGUGGGGUUUUCUGUCCUGAGGCUUCAUGCUAUGACUGUAUUUAUAUUUCAAAAGAAGGGAAAUAGAUGUUUCGUAUUAAAUUCCAAAUGGGAAGUUUAAUGUGUGCGUUGGCAUAUUUAGGAUAAGGAUGAAGCUAUCCUGGCCAAAAAAUUUGAGAAAGACAACACUUUUCACUCUGAAGGACCAAAAGAUGGGUAGAAAAUUUGGGAUAAAUGUGAACAAGAUUUGAUCCAUAAGGAAAAACAAAUAGUUAGACCUCCAUAUUCAUUCAGCUGGGAAACUAAAACUGUGCAAUCCCACUAUCAGAAAUUGCUCAGUCAGCUCGCUACUCUUCUGAGUAACAGUGUCAUCCCCAUACCAACCGCAGAGAAAGCUGUGAAAGAGAGAAUUCAGGAAACCGGUGCAAAUGAGCAAUCUUGGAAGUCUAGAAUGGAAAGUCUUCAGUGGGAAAUUCAGAUGCUCACUCAGCAAAUGGAGCAGCUGUACCAUCCUUAUGAAGAAAAUGUUUGUGAAUCAUCCCAAGAUGAAGAAACUAUAGGGAACAAAGAAGACUCUUGAAAUAUCCGGAAGGAAAAAUUGCUUUCAACAUGGAUGUUUCUGGGCACCUGACUUCUGUUCCAAGUCUGGGAUAUAUGAGGCAUAAAAGAAAACCCAGGCAACUAACCACCAUGGUGUUCCUCAGAGCCCAAGGUCACUGGCUGGCCUGCUUUCUUCUCUCUGCCUUUCAGAGUCUUAUGUUUGUUUUAGAUACAAUGUCCAGGGUUUUAAGUUGUACUUAAGUAGCAGUAGGAAUAGGGAAAAGUAUAUCUACUCUAUGUUCCCAGAGCACAAGUCCCAUCUUCAGUUAUUGAUGUUACUGUGUUGUUUAUGUCUUGCUAAGGUAUUGUGGCCAAAUCAUUUUCAACGAGAUAAAGUGUUGCUAUUAUUGUAAGACCAUUGUUGUACAUUUGGCAAAUCUUAAUCACAUUCAGUGGCCUGAGAUGCUUGGUGAAUACAACUUUUUAAUAUGUGGAAAUAUUUUAAGUAUUGGCUUAGAACAGACUACUUCUAUAAUAGCAAAAGAUUUGUCUUAAUUUCACUUGUGAGUAGAUAUUUGUACAUAACAGUUUAGUUGACAAAUAAAAUAUGGUAGUUUAAUUCUUCAAAGGCAGUUUACAGACUUGCUUUUGAUUAAUUACAAAUAUUUCAACCCUGUAUUUGAUUUAACAGACAAAUGAAUAGGUGGAAGAGAAACAUUGCAAACAAGGAGUAUAAAUGUGUAUUCAAAUAACAACUUUAAUAAUUAAAUUAUGCCUUCCAUUUUUUCUGACAAGAAUGUCACAUCUAUCCCUCACAGAUAAACUGAUUGUUCUAGUAAUCUGAAAUAAAUGGUCUGAGAUUGUGAGUUACAUUUUGAAGUCCUUUCAGUUUAGUCAGAAGGAGUGACUGUAUCAUACACCCACUUCUAAGGAAUAAAUAUGGCUAUUCUGCCCAGGAAAAAGUCUAUGUUCUAGUUUUUCCUAAUAAUUUUCCCCUCGUGUUCACAUAGCUUUAUAGCAGUGUUUUCAUAAACAAUGCAUUGUUCUACGCCUAGAAUUGCUAUAUGUUCACAGCACAGGGGUGAGACUUCUUGAAGUCUCCAAUGUUCAUCAUCAUUGACUAUAUCACUGAG